AGAGUUUGAUCCUGGCUCAGGACGAACGCUGGCGGCGUGCCUAAUACAUGCAAGUAGAACGCUGAAGAGAGGAGCUUGCUCUUCUUGGAUGAGUUGCGAACGGGUGAGUAACGCGUAGGUGACCUGCCUUGUAGCGGGGGAUAACUAUUGGAAACGAUAGCUAAUACCGCAUAACAAUGGAUGACACAUGUCAUUUACUUGAAAGGGGCAAUUGCUCCACUACAAGAUGGACCUGCGUUGUAUUAGCUAGUAGGUGAGGUAACGGCUCACCUAGGCGACGAUACAUAGCCGACCUGAGAGGGUGAUCGGCCACACUGGGACUGAGACACGGCCCAGACUCCUACGGGAGGCAGCAGUAGGGAACCUUCGGCAAUGGGGGCAACCCUGACCGAGCAACGCCGCGUGAGUGAAGAAGGUUUUCGGAUCGUAAAGCUCUGUUGUAAGUCAAGAACGAGUGUGAGAGUGGAAAGUUCACACUGUGACGGUAGCUUACCAGAAAGGGACGGCUAACUACGUGCCAGCAGCCGCGGUAAUACGUAGGUCCCGAGCGUUGUCCGGAUUUAUUGGGCGUAAAGCGAGCGCAGGCGGUUUGAUAAGUCUGAAGUUAAAGGCUGUGGCUCAACCAUAGUUCGCUUUGGAAACUGUCAAACUUGAGUGCAGAAGGGGAGAGUGGAAUUCCAUGUGUAGCGGUGAAAUGCGUAGAUAUAUGGAGGAACACCGGUGGCGAAAGCGGCUCUCUGGUCUGUAACUGACGCUGAGGCUCGAAAGCGUGGGGAGCGAACAGGAUUAGAUACCCUGGUAGUCCACGCCGUAAACGAUGAGUGCUAGGUGUUGGAUCCUUUCCGGGAUUCAGUGCCGCAGCUAACGCAUUAAGCACUCCGCCUGGGGAGUACGACCGCAAGGUUGAAACUCAAAGGAAUUGACGGGGGCCCGCACAAGCGGUGGAGCAUGUGGUUUAAUUCGAAGCAACGCGAAGAACCUUACCAGGUCUUGACAUCCCGAUGCUAUUUCUAGAGAUAGAAAGUUACUUCGGUACAUCGGUGACAGGUGGUGCAUGGUUGUCGUCAGCUCGUGUCGUGAGAUGUUGGGUUAAGUCCCGCAACGAGCGCAACCCCUAUUGUUAGUUGCCAUCAUUCAGUUGGGCACUCUAGCGAGACUGCCGGUAAUAAACCGGAGGAAGGUGGGGAUGACGUCAAAUCAUCAUGCCCCUUAUGACCUGGGCUACACACGUGCUACAAUGGUUGGUACAACGAGUUGCGAGUCGGUGACGGCAAGCUAAUCUCUUAAAGCCAAUCUCAGUUCGGAUUGUAGGCUGCAACUCGCCUACAUGAAGUCGGAAUCGCUAGUAAUCGCGGAUCAGCACGCCGCGGUGAAUACGUUCCCGGGCCUUGUACACACCGCCCGUCACACCACGAGAGUUUGUAACACCCGAAGUCGGUGAGGUAACCUUUUGGAGCCAGCCGCCUAAGGUGGGAUAGAUGAUUGGGGUGAAGUCGUAACAAGGUA
Molecule: ribosomal RNA, 1506 nt
Filed under: metagenome
Description: bacterial SSU rRNA
Rfam family: Bacterial small subunit ribosomal RNA
Source: RNAcentral